GACGAACGCUGGCGGCGUGCUUAACACAUGCAAGUCGAACGGAAAGGCCUGCUUUCCCUUGUGGAUUGCGGGUACUCGCGUGGCGAACGGGUGAGUAACACGUGAGUGAUCUGCCCCCAACUUGGGUAUAAGCCUGGGAAACUGGGUCUAAUUCCCGAUAGGACUGCAGGGUGGUGCCGGUGGUGGAAAACGAUGUUCUAGUGGUUGGGGAUGAGCUCGCGGCCUAUCAGCUUGUUGGUGGGGUAAUGGCCUACCAAGGCGGCGACGGGUAGCCGGCCUGGGAGGGUGGACGGCCACAUUGGGACUGAGAUACGGCCCAGACUCCUACGGGAGGCAGCAGUGGGGAAUAUGGCACAAUGGGCGGAAGCCUGAUGCAGCGACGCCGCGUGGGGGAUGACGGCCUUCGGGUUGUAAACUCCUUUCGACCGCGAGGAAGCCACCUGGUUGGAAGGGUGGUGACGGUAGUGGUAGAAGAAGCACCGGCUAACUACGUG
This 494-nucleotide ribosomal RNA is filed under the name uncultured bacterium. RNAcentral's name for it is "partial 16S ribosomal RNA". It matches the Rfam family "Bacterial small subunit ribosomal RNA", at positions 28 to 507 of the family's 1533-position model. The record is from RNAcentral.